GGAUGGUCCCCAAGACUGAACCUCACCCGUUAACCAAUUAAUGACUGGACUGUGUUUGAUGAGCCAAGGGCGUCCCAGAAUCACCGGAAUCUCUGGGGACUUGGUCAGCAGAAAUGUGAUCCUGUCAUGGUGGUUUCCUGAAAUCAGUACAGAAACAGGCUUAGUGCAGUGAGUUAUGGUAUCAAUGAGAUGCCCAUCAAUGGCAAAAAUCUCACGUGAUUUCUCUAGAAGUUCCAACUCUAGUGCGAGCUUAUGAGCUAGGCUGACAUCAAUAAAGUCAGCAUCAGCCCCAGAAUCAAUAAAAACAGGAACUUCCCUCCCUUCAGGAGAGUCAGGGAAUCUGAUGGUGCACUGAUUGUGGGAAUGGUUCUGAUGUCUGAGGAUAGGGCUCAGUAAAGACCCCCUGAGCCUUACUGAGCCUGUUCUUUUUGACGGACAGUUAAGAGCUCGAUGGUUCCUCUCUCCGCAGUAAAAACACAGGUGAUUUCUGAACCUCCUCUCCCUUUCUUCAGCAGAAAGCCGGGUCCUACCCAACGGCAUGGGCUCCUCAGUGUUAACAAGGGGGGGCGUGAAGACUUGGGGCAAGCUGCUUGGACUGACCUGAACAGUUGAGACCCUUCUUUGAUAAUUAGAUGGAGACCUCUCCCUCUUACGUUCACGAAGGCGUUGGUCAAUCCGCGUGGCAAGCCUUUCUAAGGCCUCGAGCGACACAGGAGGGUCACGGGUAGCAAUCUCAUCCUUGAUAUCAUCUGACAGGCCCUGGUAAAAAAUGUCAAACAUGGCUUCAUUAUUCCAAAGACAACUGGACUUCAAGGCAUGGAAAUUGAUGAUAUAGUCAGAAACAGGUCGAGAGCCCUGUUUGAGAGAAAACAGUCUCCUGGCAGCCUCUCUCUCGGGACGGAUAGGAUCAAAAACCCUCUUCAUCUCAUCAGAAAACUCUAAAAAUGAGUCACAGCUGUCAGCAGCACUCUCCCACUCAGAUGUUCCCCACAGCUUAGCCUUACCAGAUAGUAGAGAGAUGGUAUAGGCCACCUUGGCCCGUUCAGAAGGGAAGGCUGAGGGCUGGAGUUCAAAAUGCAGAGAACACUGGGUUAAAAAAGGUCUGCAUUGUUCAGGAUCCCCAUCAAAACGCUCAGGUGGGGGAAUCUUGGGUUCGUUGUUAGCGUUAACCAUGGGAGUGGCAGUAAGUGGGAGUGGCCGCAUAACUGAGGGCCUAGCUUGGGUUUGGGAAUCCCUUAGAGAAGAAAGUCCCUGUAAAAGCUCCUGGACAUUUCUUUCUAGGCCGGUAACAGCAUCCUCUACUUUAGAACACCAACCGGGAUUUGGCUGUGGGUUCAUACUGGCGAGAUCGUACUGUAAUGGUAAAAGCAGAAUCAGCCAGAACCCAAAACGCAGCCACAACAAGAGGAUGGUUAACCAAAAAGUUUUAUUACUAAAGUAAAUGGUGUAGAAGGAUGUGGUCACACUAGUGGGUCAGGGACGAGGAAUCCACAGGGGUCAGGAGUCCAGCCGGGGGAGGGGAGGGUGAAUGGACAAGGGGAGAUCUGUGGGAGUCUCAGGGGACAAACAGACGACAGGGGCAAAAUCCACCAACCAGAGGCUGAGUCGUGAAACGGUCCAGGGUCAUGCACGGGAGGGUCUCAGGCAGUGAAAAUCCAGAAUCCAGAAGGCAGGAGGCAGGGUCAGAAACAGGCAGGGUUCAGCAACAGGACUUUCAACAGCAAAAGGAUUAGGCAAAAAUCUGUGGUCAAAAACAGGCAGGAUCAGAAACCAGAAAACACUUUGAAACAUGAGACAAGGCUUGAAAGCUGUGACAGGGGCAACAGACGAUCUCGCACUGAGCUGGUGACGAGCAGCUGAUUAAGUAGGGACCAGCUCAGUGCAGCAAAUAUAUUUUGAUUGCCCUCCCCUG
Long non-coding RNA from Xiphophorus hellerii (green swordtail), 1912 nucleotides. RefSeq lists it as uncharacterized. The transcript has 4 exons. The record is from RefSeq and is a predicted model, not a curated record. NCBI's taxonomy places the organism in Eukaryota, Metazoa, Chordata, Actinopteri, Cyprinodontiformes, Poeciliidae.